CGAAAGAACCGGCUGCUCUCGGCCCUGUGUAUGCGUUUGGAGGGGAAGAGGGGGGUCUUUGGGAUACCCCCAUCCGGGAGGUGGGGGUGUUUCGGAGGGGGGGGGGUCGGGUGGCUGUGCACCCACCCCAGCUGCAUGCAUUGUCCCACACCAUUUCCCUGCGUGCAGCUGCACCCCUGCCUGCACGUGCUCCGUAUUCACGGGCCCUCGCAAAGCUCCGUGGCUGUGAGGUCGGCCUGUUGCGUUGCUCAAGCACGCAGCCCCACGCUGCACACGCGGGUUUGCCUUCGCCGUGGGUCUCCGGGCCGAUUUGGCUCCCAACCAAACGUUUUUCUUCGACGUUGAAUGGGAAAUCCAUCGCUGCUUCUGCCUGCUCGGCGGCCCCACGCACGCGGUUUGGUUGGGGGCGGGGGGGGGGGGGGCUCGGGAUUCAGGGCCCCACGUGGAAGGAACACUGCGGGAGAUUCGGAGCCGAACACAAACCCAGCACGGAGCAGAACUCGGAGCCGAGGGGCAGCUCCCACCCGCGCGAUGCGUUGGGAAGGGACCGAGGGACGCGGUUCGGGGCCGGGCAGGCUGAGAUCCGACCCACGCCAAGGGAAACGGGAACAGCGAGAGGCAGGCCACGCACAGAGCCUCAUUAGUGCUAAUUAAGAGCUGCGUAUUAUUCCACCGCCACGGAACCAUCCCCUGACCGCGCUCCUGCGGGCGGCCAGGUGAACCCGCAUUGCAGGCGUGCAAACGGUGCGCGCGGCGUUGGAAACCUAUUCGCAGCGUUUUGUUUCUUUUUUUUGUUGCUUUUUUUUUUUUAUUUGCUCCUGUUCUGGCGUGCAGGAAAGGAAUCCGAAUCGAAACGCCUUCCGCUCACCAACAUUUCACUUUUCUAAAGGAAAUUCAGCCUAAAUCUAACGUCCUCCCCCCCCUCCCCCCAGCGGAGAGCAGGAAGACGCGGGGCAGGACGGGCUGCGGUGGGGGGAGAGCGCUGUGAUUGCAGCCAAAUGACCCCGCUAUUAUCGUGAUUAUCUUUUAAAGAAGGUAAUUUAAUAAUUACCUUAAUUAUCUGCAGGGAUCGGCGUGGGAGCGAGCUCUGAGUCCCCGCUUUCGGGGCUCUUUGGUGCCCCAAAGCAGGAACAGGCACGGAGCAAGGUG
This 1149-nucleotide long non-coding RNA is filed under the name Numida meleagris (helmeted guineafowl). Its description in RNAcentral is "lncRNA (ENSNMEG00000006353.1)". The record is from RNAcentral. Lineage: Eukaryota; Metazoa; Chordata; Aves; Galliformes; Numididae.